UGCCCACCUUCAACCUCAGCAACCCAAAACCCGACCCGCAUCGUCUUCUCUUCUUCUAGCGCAUGAACGGCAAAUACAUAGCAUUAUUAGACGAUCUCGCUACGUGACAAAAGCAAUGGGUAUAGCGUGAAGAGAGAGUUCACGGUGAUACACACAAGUUACACGAUAAAUCGAGCAACUGUUUUUGCAUUUUUAUCUUCCAUUAGCUUUAUCCAUACAACAGAGCGGUUCCAAACCUUCAACCUCGUCCUUGACUUGUGUGAAUGAAGGCCACGUCAACCACAAGGACGAUUGGGUUGAAUCCAGGCGGUCCGUUCCCUGCAUCCUCACAAUUUUGAGGGAUUUUUGGGUGGAAUUCUCGUCAAAAGAUAGUUGUUCUUUGGCCCUUGAAAAUUUGAAUUGAUACUUUUAUUUUGGGGAUUCCAAGUUUUCCCUUUUUCCCCCAAAAUCUCAAACCUAAUUUCCCAUCUAUAUAUUCUUUUUCAUUCACUAUAAGAAGGGAGGAGAAAUUUUUGGAAAAAAAAGGGAGAAGGGGAAGAAAGAUUUUUAAUCGGAAGUUUUUUUAUCAUAGAGAGUUUGAGGAAAUUUCUGGAGAAGAUCGAUAUAGAGAUAUAGUGAGGCGUCCUAGGCAAAACUUAGUUGCCGACGAAGUAUUAUGCUUUUUUUUUGCGUGCGAGUUCCUGUUAGGGUGGUGGAAGCCGGUCCCUGUCUAGCUCGUUGUUAUCCCACUCGUUGCGCCAAAGAAGCUUUGAUGAGUUAGCGAUGGCUUCUAAUAUAGCCUUUGGUAGCCAAAAUCCAAGUCUUUCAAUCGAGGUUGCACGAUCAAGUACCAAUGGUUCCCGUAAUGUGAUCUGAAUGCCAUCAUAUGUCUUUCAAACCUCGGGAGAACCAUCCUAAGCCAGCAACAACAACAUCGAUGCUCUUGACAUCCCAGCUCAUUCCACGUGCUUUUACUUCUAUCUUUUGCCAUUGUCCCAACUCAGAAACUUGCUCCAUGGAAUGGGAGGCUGAAGAUUUAAACACAAAACGCAAAUAAGGUAUGGGGCCUCUUAACAGAAAGUAACAUGUUGGACUUGGUAUUUACUCAUUGAUUCUACACUUGUAUAGGUUUCUAUCCCGAAUUCGUGUAAUUGCUCUUAUUCUUGUUACAUCUGAGGCAUUUUGAGGAUACAUUGAGAGGUUGUUGCUUGUCAUCCUAGCGGACUCUCUUGUUUCUUACCUUAUGCUUUGUUUUAUUUGAGAUACAAUGACAUUGGAACUUGUUAUUGUCUUUUAA
Molecule: RNA transcript, 1276 nt
Organism: Solanum lycopersicum (tomato)
Lineage: Eukaryota; Viridiplantae; Streptophyta; Magnoliopsida; Solanales; Solanaceae
Source: RefSeq, a predicted model, not a curated record